UAGGUUAUAACCUAAUAUAUAUAUCAAAUAAGAACUCCUAAAGGUUAAGAACCCUAAUAACCUAUAACUUUUAUCCUAUCAUCAAAUAAAUAUUUGUUAUUUAUCGAAUAAAUGUUAUUUUUGUCCAAUAAACUAAAACAAAAAAUGGUAUGAUGGUAAAUAAAACAAAACUUAAGCCUGAUUUUUUUUUUGUGUCUGUUCUUUCAGAUCUGAUCAUAAUUUCUCUUAGACAAAAAAAACCCUCUCAACUUCUUCUUCAUGUGGAUGAACAUCAACACCUCCACCACCGCCGACGACAACCUUUCCACCACCACACCGUCGACAACGGCCCUUUCCACCGACGGUAACCUUUCCACCACCACACCGCCGGCGACAACCCAUCCAGCGUCACAUCUCUUACUCUGUUGCAACCUCCAAUCACCGCCACCAUUUCCGAUGACGAAACAACCACUGUCAUCACUGUCGGGGUCUUAGUUCUCUGACGAAUGAACCAAAACCUUUAGCAAACGAACAUCAAAUCCUCGUAUGUGAUAUCCAACGAAGUUCCGACUAUCGUAUCCGAUGGUUUGUCAAGAGAUUUAUGAAUCCGGUAACUUUCCUUUACACUUCCUGCUCAAAUCUACUUCGAUUUUAGUGAUUCCAGUGGUUUUUCUAGUCCAUAUAUGUAUAGAUAUAAGUGAAUUCGAGUUUCAAUUGCUUCAAUCUUUGUUUCUGGCAUUAACUAUGUUGUUUCAAGCCAUCGUCGAUGUUCUUUUUGUUCCAGAUCUGAUUGAUAUUUAUUUUGAUGAUGAGCUCCGACGACGAUAGCUCAAAAUGAUACUUUAGGGAAUAAGUCGUCAAUGGUGCAAACAGAGAAGUAAAAGCAGCACCUACGAUUGGGAAUUAGAAAAGAGAAUAAUGAGACGUCGACAUUUUAUUAAUAUCAUAUUGAGUUGUAAUUCUCAAAGUUGCAAAAGUAAACAGGAGAAAAGGAAAAACUUAAAUUUUGAUGCUGCACUUUUGCAGUAAACAUGUAAAAUGAAGAUGCUGUUACUCGAAAGCUGUAAUUAGAACCAAAGUGGAGAUGCAUAAAUAAAUCUUAUUAUCAUUAGACAAUUAUACAAUUUUAUUAAGUUGUGAAUGUACAAUGUAUUAAGUUGUGAAUAGAUUAUUUAUUAAGUUGUGAAUUUAUGUUAAAAUACGAAUAAUUUAUGUAUAAAUAUUUGUAUUAAAUUUCUACUUACAUUUAUGAUGUAAGUUUUUUUC
Non-coding RNA from Lactuca sativa (garden lettuce), 1245 nucleotides. The record is from RefSeq and is a predicted model, not a curated record. Lineage: Eukaryota; Viridiplantae; Streptophyta; Magnoliopsida; Asterales; Asteraceae.